RNAcentral lists this long non-coding RNA (1179 nucleotides) under Nicotiana tabacum (common tobacco). RNAcentral describes it as "long non-coding RNA (NTAB_LNC017714)". Lineage: Eukaryota; Viridiplantae; Streptophyta; Magnoliopsida; Solanales; Solanaceae. The record is from RNAcentral.
AUACUACACUUGCUGCACUUUUUGUGCAAGAACUGAGGCAAGUACUAGUGGGGGACCUAUCGUCUUACACCCAUGUUAUCCAGGGGCAUAGUGAUGAGCUGUUUCUCUGAUCCGUUCUGCAGCUACUAGUGUCUCUCGUUGUAUUUUUUUUUAUUCUGUCUAUUUUUAUUUCAGACAGUAUUUGAGAUUUUGUAUAAUCUACUAGAUGCUCAUAGACCUGUGACACCAGGUCUUGGCACACACAUGAGUAGAAUUUGGGUUUUAUUAUUUUCUUGGUUUUAAAUUUUGUCAGUAUAUGCUUAAUUUAUUAAGUUGUCUUGCCUAGCUAUAGUGUUGGGCGCCAUCACAACCUAGAGGUGAAAUUGGGUCGUGACACGCGAAGCCUGGUAUUAUCUCGCUAUAGAGCUCGCGAACCCUGGAAUUUAGCUCGCUACAUAGCUCGUGAAGCCUGGUUUGUAGCUCACUACAGGGCGUGCCUAGCCUGGUCUAUAGCCCGGUCCGGAAUUUGGAGGGUUUUUAUAACCCGACCCCCAUUUCAUUUAACUCAUUUAGGGUUCAUAUUUUUGGGUAUUUUUUGGUGUUUUAGAGAGAAGGGAGAUCGAUUCUAGAGAGAGGAAAUGAAGGACUAAGGAUUUCACUACUCUGCCUUGAAUAAAACCUUGAAAUCGCAUCAAAGGGUUGCUAGAGCUUCAAAGAGGUAAGAAUUUCUUUCCCCAAUCCUUCAAUUUUGAAAUCUAACUAGAAAUGGGUAAUUAGUAAGAUGAUUCUUGGAUGUGAGAGUAUUACUUAUACAUGAUUGUACCAAUAAAGUCGUGAGAAGAUUUUUAAGUUCAAAGGGAUAAAGAUUGAGUGGAAAAAUGGUAGAAAUCUUCAAAGACUUUAAUUGAAGAUUUGAAGGGCAAUUCGAUAUCGGAAUUCGAUAAUUAUUGUAUGGAUGAACUCGUAUCGGAACAGGUGUUCAGAUUUUAUGAGUUUUUCAGAGAUUCGAAAUAUGGGUCCUACUGUCGAUUUUUAAAAUGAAUUUCGAAUUUUAAUACGAAAUAUUAGUAACUUCAUAUGGAAUUAAUUCCUACGAUUCGUAUUGAGUAUAUUGAAUUGUUGUGACUAGAUUUGAAGCAUUCAGACACGAAUUUGCAAGGCAAAAGUUUAUUGGAAUCUUGAAUUUGGUUGCGGACCGAG